This 548-nucleotide ribosomal RNA is filed under the name uncultured Glomeromycotina. RNAcentral describes it as "SSU rRNA". It matches the Rfam family "Eukaryotic small subunit ribosomal RNA", at positions 548 to 1098 of the family's 1831-position model. Lineage: Eukaryota; Fungi; Glomeromycota. The record is from RNAcentral.
UUGGAGGGCAAGUCUGGUGCCAGCAGCCGCGGUAAUUCCAGCUCCAAUAGCGUAUAUUAAAGUUGUUGCAGUUAAAAAGCUCGUAGUUGAAUUUCGAGACCGGCUUACUGGUCGUGCUUUUGUACGUACUGGUAUUAUUGGUUUCUCCUUUCUGACGAAUCAUAAUGCCAUUAAUUUGGUGUUUUGGGGAAUCAGGACUGUUACUUUGAAAAAAUUAGAGUGUUUAAAGCAGGCUCACGCUUGAAUACAUUAGCAUGGAAUAACGAAAUAGGACGUUUGAUUUUAUUUUGUUGGUUUCUAGGAUCGACGUAAUGAUUAAUAGGGAUAGUUGGGGGCAUUAGUAUUCAAUUGUCAGAGGUGAAAUUCUUGGAUUUAUUGAAGACUAACUACUGCGAAAGCAUUUGCCAAGGAUGUUUUCAUUAAUCAAGAACGAAAGUUAGGGGAUCGAAGACGAUCAGAUACCGUCGUAAUCUUAACCAUAAACUAUGCCGACUAGGGAUCGGAUGAUGUUAAUUUUUUAAUGACUCAUUCGGCGCCUUACGGGAAAC